AACGAACUCGGGAAACUGAUUUAAACCAAGUUUGAAGCAUUGCCUCUGUUUGCGAGUACUGUGAGAAAGUGUCGUUACCGGAGAGGUCUGGAUGUUAAAACAAACUCUAGGGCUGCUUUUUGUCGACCAUGAGUGAGACUGGACGCUGAACAUAACUGCUGUGCAAAGGUUUACUCGUUCAGCUGCUGCAGCCUGGACAGAAACACCAACUCUCACCUUACAAACCAAACAGGUGUCACCACUUUGUCCUUGAUCACAGAGAGUCUUUGUACAACGAAGAAGUUCUUUGUAACAAGGACUGAGGCCUCCAGGAUUCAAACUUCAACCAUUACAUCACAGAGAGAAGAAACAGACGUGAAGACAUUUCCAGAAGGUCUUCAGCUGCUGUCAUCUCCUCCUGCCUGCACAGACAAGAACACAUAUUAAUCACAGAAACUCACCAGUAAAUCUAAAUAUUUUUACAACAUACUAUUUCUGAUAUUUUUUGAUGUUUUUAUGCCUUACCAUAGUAUGACAUGCAGCUUAAGACAAAGGAACUAGCCAUCAUAUCAGUACUCAAAUCCAGUCUAUUCACAUCCAUCCUGUUUA
Molecule: long non-coding RNA, 588 nt
Organism: Lates calcarifer (barramundi perch)
Lineage: Eukaryota; Metazoa; Chordata; Actinopteri; Centropomidae
Exons: 5
Source: RefSeq, a predicted model, not a curated record